This 766-nucleotide ribosomal RNA is filed under the name Pursegloveia burttii. RNAcentral describes it as "eukaryotic LSU rRNA". The stretch from base 270 to 425 matches the Rfam family "5.8S ribosomal RNA". The record is from RNAcentral. Lineage: Eukaryota; Viridiplantae; Streptophyta; Magnoliopsida; Alismatales; Araceae.
UGAGGAAGGAGAAGUCGUAACAAGGUUUCCGUAGGUGAACCUGCGGAAGGAUCAUUGUCGUAUCCCGGCUCGGCACACUCGCGAACUGUCCCCAAUCCCGUCCUCGGUACGACGCCCCCCGCCCGCGGCCGCGCGCGGGACGCCGACCGACGAACCUUCUCCGGCGCGGUCCGCGCCAAGGAACACCGACCCACGAGAACGCCCGCGCCGUCCUCGCUCCGUGCCUGGCCGCGCGGGCGCUCCCACGUACAGCCGUAAUAAAUCUUAACGACUCCCGGCAACGGAUAUCUAGGCUCUCGCAUCGAUGAAGAACGUAGCGAAAUGCGAUACGUGGUGUGAAUUGCAGAAUCCCGUGAACCAUCGAAUCUUUGAACGCAAGUUGCGCCCGAGGCCGUCAGGCCGAGGGCACGCCUGCCUGGGCGUCACGCCCCGCGUCGCUCCCACUCCCCGCCGCCCGCACCGCGCGGCGGCGGCGGCCGUGGGACGCGGAGAUUGGCCUACCGUGCUGCGGCGCGGCGGGCCGAAGUGCUCGAACCCUUCCCCGUGCGUGGAGCGAGAACGCGGCGAGUGGUGGAUUGGAUCGGACCGACCGACUCGUCAUCGUCGCCGUGCCCUUCUCGCCCCGCCGCCCGCCGGGCGGGAUUCACGAAACCCAGCCGCGAGCGGCCGUUCGGAGGCGCCGCGCGCCGCCGACGCCCGCUCCGACCGCGACCCCAGGUCAGGCGGGGCCACCCGCUGAGUUUAAGCAUAUCAAUAACCGGAGGAA